UGGCGGCGUGCCUAAUACAAGCAAGUCGAGCGCAGGAAACAAGUAGAUCCCUUCGGGGUGACGCUUGUGGAAUGAGCGGCGGACGGGUGAGUAACACGUGGGCAACCUACCUUGUAGACUGGGAUAACUCCGGGAAACCGGAGCUAAUACGGGAUGAUCAUUUGAAUCGCAUGAUUGAAAUGUAAAAGUGGGGAGUAAUCCUCACACUAUGAGAUGGGCCCGCGGCGCAUUAGCUAGUUGGUAAGGUAAUGGCUUACCAAGGCAACGAUGCGUAGCCGACCUGAGAGGGUGAUCGGCCACACUGGAACUGAGACACGGUCCAGACUCCUACGGGAGGCAGCAGUAGGGAAUCAUCCGCAAUGGGCGAAAGCCUGACGGUGCAACGCCGCGUGAACGAUGAAGGUUUUCGGAUCGUAAAGUUCUGUUAUGAGGGAAGAACAAGUGCCGUUCGAAUAGGGCGGCACCUUGACGGUACCUCACGAGAAAGCCCCGGCUAACUACGUG
Molecule: ribosomal RNA, 504 nt
Filed under: uncultured bacterium
Lineage: Bacteria
Description: bacterial SSU rRNA
Rfam family: Bacterial small subunit ribosomal RNA
Source: RNAcentral